This 486-nucleotide ribosomal RNA is filed under the name uncultured bacterium. RNAcentral's name for it is "partial 16S ribosomal RNA". It matches the Rfam family "Bacterial small subunit ribosomal RNA", at positions 28 to 507 of the family's 1533-position model. The record is from RNAcentral.
GACGAACGCUGGCGGCGUGCUUAACACAUGCAAGUCGAACGCUGAAGACCUGGCUUUUGUUGGGUUGGAUGAGUGGCGAACGGGUGAGUAACACGUGAGUAACCUGCCCUCUUCUUUGGGAUAACGCCCGGAAACGGGUGCUAAUACUGGAUAUUCACUGGCCUUCGCAUGGGGGUUGGUGGAAAGGUUUGUUUUGGUGGGGGAUGGGCUCGCGGCCUAUCAGCUUGUUGGUGGGGUGAUGGCCUACCAAGGCUUUGACGGGUAGCCGGCCUGAGAGGGUGACCGGUCACAUUGGGACUGAGAUACGGCCCAGACUCCUACGGGAGGCAGCAGUGGGGAAUAUUGCACAAUGGGCGAAAGCCUGAUGCAGCGACGCCGCGUGAGGGAUGGAGGCCUUCGGGUUGUAAACCUCUUUCGCUCAUGGUCAAGCCGCAACUGUGGGUUGUGGUGAGGGUAGUGGGUAAAGAAGCGCCGGCUAACUACGUG